This 483-nucleotide ribosomal RNA is filed under the name uncultured bacterium. RNAcentral's name for it is "partial 16S ribosomal RNA". It matches the Rfam family "Bacterial small subunit ribosomal RNA", at positions 28 to 507 of the family's 1533-position model. The record is from RNAcentral.
GACGAACGCUGGCGGCGUGCUUAACACAUGCAAGUCGAACGCUGAAGCUCAGCUUUUGUUGGGUGGAUGAGUGGCGAACGGGUGAGUAACACGUGGGUAACCUGCCUCCUUCUUUGGGAUAACGCCCGGAAACGGGUGCUAAUACUGGAUAUUCACUGGUCUUCGCAUGGGGGUUGGUGGAAAGGGUUUUUCUGGUGGGGGAUGGGCUCGCGGCCUAUCAGCUUGUUGGUGGGGUGAUGGCCUACCAAGGCUUUGACGGGUAGCCGGCCUGAGAGGGUGACCGGUCACAUUGGGACUGAGAUACGGCCCAGACUCCUACGGGAGGCAGCAGUGGGGAAUAUUGCACAAUGGGCGCAAGCCUGAUGCAGCGACGCCGUGUGAGGGAUGGAGGCCUUCGGGUUGUGAACCUCUUUCGCUCAUGGUCAAGCCGCAACAAUGGUUGUGGUGAGGGUAGUGGGUAAAGAAGCGCCGGCUAACUACGUG